GAGCCUACGGCACAGCAAAAGCCGCCUAACGCGAAUAAGCACUGUCUCAUAAUCAGCCCUACCAGUAUACGCGUAACGAUUAACGAAUUAACGAUCUCUCUUCAAGAAGGCAACGCUUACUGUUGUUUGCUGAACGCCUGAACCGAAUCAUGGGUGAAGACUUGGGAUCGAGUGCUACCGCCAUCGACUCUUCGAACAUAGGGUUUCAGCUCUUGAAGAAGUGUGGUUGGAAAGAAGGAACCGGUCUUGGUGUUUCCGAGCAGGGUAGAUUAGAGCCACUACAAACACAUGUAAAGAAUAAUAAGCGUGGUCUGGGUGCAGAGAAAGUAAAGAAGAAGGUCUUACAUAUCUCUGAUGAUACUACCACUGCAAGGAAAAAUGACAAUGAACAAUUGCAACCUAGAAAGAAAACAAAGUCGGUCUCUAAAAGGGUGAGGAAGAUGCAGGAGGAAGAGAAAUGUUGGCAAGAGAAGGAAUUCGAGCGAGCCUUCUUCAGGGAAUUCUGGCCAGAUAAUGUUUAAAGACAAAAUCUGUCAUCUCUAUGCAGUCACCUCUUAGUAUCUUACAAGACAUAGGAAUUUUGUACAGGUAAAUGGCAGUCUGAACCUAUUUUGCCGCAGUUUGGCAGAUCCGACCUAGGCAACAGAGAUUGGAAAUGCUUGCCAUUUGGGAGAAGGUUCUCCAGAAAUGCAUGGAGGCCUCGGCAUCUUAAAAUUGGUCAUAAGAUUAAACUAGUACUGGAUCAGAACAGGGACUUACAGUUCUGAUUAAGUGGACUUUUGGGGGGUUUGGGACAAGAAUGGUCUUGAGACAUUUGCAGGUGAUUUUGUGGUCUGUUAUCAAGCCUUGUAAAAAUCCUUUUUUUUUUUAUGGAAUCAGAAAUCAAGAAGAGCUAUGGCAAUUGAUUCAACAUGUGAAGAAGAGUUUUUCAGCAAGAUGAAAAAAUGAGUUAAAAUGUUCCAGCAGUAUGAAAAAUGGAUCGGAUAAAGGGCAACUUUUGCACCAGUAGCUUGAGGCGGCAGCAUAGAGGAUAAAUUGAUGAUGAGAUAGAAGGUCUAGAGGCAUCCAUGUGUUUUCUGCAGAAAGCUGGCUUUGAAGACAGCUAUGAAAUGAGAAUGAGAUGGGAUAAACGAGCCAGGUCUUAGAAGCACUAACCAGGCUGACCGCUGACCAGGUUGCUGUUAAGUGCAGCCUGGCCAAACACUUCCAACAUGAUGUAUGUUGUCUCUAGCAUGGUUGUACUGGCAUAGACAUGAUAUAAAGUAGAUGUUAUAAUGUAAUAUGCCUACUUGGAGAGUAAGUUUUUUUCUUGGUUA
This is an RNA transcript of Nelumbo nucifera (sacred lotus), 1316 nucleotides long. It is a transcript of the gene named D111/G-patch domain-containing protein, with no coding region annotated. The record is from RefSeq and is a predicted model, not a curated record. NCBI's taxonomy places the organism in Eukaryota, Viridiplantae, Streptophyta, Magnoliopsida, Proteales, Nelumbonaceae.